RNAcentral lists this long non-coding RNA (988 nucleotides) under Homo sapiens (human). RNAcentral describes it as "long intergenic non-protein coding RNA 382". The record is from RNAcentral. Lineage: Eukaryota; Metazoa; Chordata; Mammalia; Primates; Hominidae.
UUGGAUGGUUGGCCUCUUGGUUACAAGCAUGUACAUUAUGGCUCUCUCCUUGCCUGGAACUGGAUAUGAGAAAUGCUUGAAUUAAGAUCUGUGAAUUAUCUUAUUUUCUUGUCAGAAGGAUGCAGAUUGCCCAUACUUCAUAGCAGAGCAACAGGAGGGACUUAGGGACAAAAAGCUCAAAGGCAAGGAAGACUGAGGAAGCUAAGUUACUGGCCAUAUGUUUAAUAAAUAUAAGCUUAAUGGCAGUGAAUGUAUUAAUGUCAGCGAAGACAAGUCUAUGAAGUUAAACAGGCACAGAGAGGCUAAGAGUCUUGCCAAAGGCCACAGAGGAAGGAAGAGACUAAAUCUGGAACAAACUUUCUAUUCUCCAUUUCCAGAAGAAACCACUAAACCAUGCUUCCUCUUGUCAUGGAAGCUUAAAAUAUUUGGACUGUCUGUGGAUCCAGGGAGGAAUUUCAGAAGAGCCAGGAUUAGUCAAUCAAAUUAAACUCAAUAUCACCCAAAUAAAGUUGGUCAGAUCAAACUACGUUUAAAUAAGAAUUAAAAUGCCAUUUGUCCAUCACCUAAUGGCUCAAUUUGCUCCUGCCUUGGGUGUGCACACCCUGCUCUGGAACAGACCAGAGCUCUAAAGAAGUGACUGGAAGUUGUGAAUGUCAUUGUUAUGAAGCUUCAAAUUUGCUCUCCUCUUUAGGACACAGACAUGGCAUUAGAGAAGGGCAGAAAACUGCACUUGGCUGUGCAUAGAGAACACUAGAGACCUCUUGUGCAAGAGAGGGGACUAGGUUGCGUAGUGUAAUGAGAGAAGCAUGGGUUUUGAGACCGCUACAAUGUCUGUGUCUUCUUGGCCAACAUUUCAGUAAGAGUAGUAAGCAUAUCUCCACAAUAGGGUUAAGAGAACCAGUGUCUUCUGAAAAACACAUGAAAUCAUCGUAACCCUGCUAAGUCUGUGCUUUGCAAAAAUUAAAACUAAAACUAAUUUUCACUAUGA